AAGUAAUGAUGGGGCUUAUUCUCUUGUACUGGCUGGUGGAUUUGCGGAUGAAGUCUUGACAGAGUUAUGAAUAUGAAUAUUGUGGAGUCUGUCCAGAUACCGGGUGGAAGACUGGUUUUGAUCAGUUUAAGAAGUAUUCUAAACUGUUCUAGAUGACCGAGGUGAUGAGUUCACAUACACUGGAAGCGGUGGUAAAAAUCUUGCUGGUAAUAAAAGAAUUGGCGCACCUUCAGCUGAUCAAACAUUAACAAACAUGAACAGCUCUUCCAACUUUAAGAAACUGAAGAGGGCAGCAAAGUAACCUGGCCAUCUUUUAACAGGGCAGUCAGAGGCACCUGACUGGUUGAGUGGCAGUUAGAUUAAUGGAGGAGCUUUGUUGCUGUAUUGCCUAGUUUCAUCCUCUUGGACUCUUUUCAUGUACUUGAAUAGCCUAAUUAUCUGAAGCCAGAAGUGAGUUGACAGUGCCAGUUAGUGGUGGCAGUAAUUAUGACUGAAGGUAUCUGUGAGCAUUAAAGCAUUCCAUUCAGUGACAUGAAGGUAAAGUUACCCUAGCUCUUCAGAUAAAAUAGGUGUAAUAUCUCAAUAGGUAUUCUGUAAGUAAGACGUAAUACUAGCCCCAGAGUUGAUGGCUGUGUUUUUUUCUACCUCCCAGCAUUUUAAUGCAUCUUCCUUUUAGAUUUAAAAAAAAAGGUAACUUGGGAAGCUUCAACUCUUUGACCACAGCUAUAUAAGUUAUUUUUUAAAACAAAAUACUUUCAAGUUUAUUUACUCACUAAAAAUAUAACUAUGGUCAAGACAUUUCUUUUCAAUAGGUUAGUCAUAUUCUUGAAGUCUAUUUUUUUUUAACUUGAGCCUGCAUAAAAAGAAUCAAACCCUGAAGAAGUAUUUUAUGUCAUAUCUGCUUUUACCAGAUUGGGUAUAGUUCUGUUUUUUGUUUGUUUUUUAAACCUUAAGUGUUCUCAGUGUUUUAUUUUCACUUAAGAUGUAGGUGUUCUAGAGGAAAAUGCUAAUUGUAAACUGAUUUUAAAAUUGUUAUUUUAAAAUAGUAAAAAUAAUUUAAGUACAGAUUUUGGUACAACUAGGUUCUCCCAAGAAUAAGGUCUUCUAACAUCUAAUAAGCUCAUUGAUUUACUACUAUUAGGUGAAUGCAUAUACUAAGUAAGUUCCAGCUAAGUCAGGUACUACUCCCAAUUCAGUGUUCCUCUUUGACCAUGCAUUAAUGCAUCAUCAGUAAAAUGUAGUGAUCUCAAGCAGCCAGAAGUCUUCAUUGUCAUUAGCACAGGCAUUUGGAUGCUUCAGGCUUAUUGAAAUUUAUCUUUUUAUGGAGACCUUUAAAGAAUAUUCUCAUACACCACUUAUUCUUAAUAUCUUUUAAACUUUAAGGAUUCUCUAUUGUCUGGAAUGUGGAAAGUAGACCUGGGAAGGUCAUUUGUACCUUGCUGACAAAUUUAUAUUUUUGGAUUUCUUUCUACAUUAUUCCAGCAAUUCACCUCACACCCUUACCAAAGAUCACUAUUGCAACAAUCAUUUGCUUUAGUUUUCCAACGUUCUCCCUUCCCCCAACAAACGUUAUUUAAAGAAAAAUUCCAUGUAUUUCUAGUUGUUUUCUAUUAUACGUGGCACAGAUGUUAUUACUUUCAGAAGAACCCUACAGGCUAUCUGAGAACCAAUCCCCUGGCUUGGGGGUGACAUCAGAAAACUGAUUUGUCUUCUCUGCUGGUGGGGGAAAGCAUAAUCCUAUUAUCUGGAAUAAUAUGGAAAGAAUCAUAGAAUCUUAACCAUCAGGGCAUUGGCCCUAAACUGUGAUGCUCCAUUGGAUGAUAAAAUUGGAGCAGAGUCUCGGAAUUGGAGAGCUGGUAAGCCAGUCAGAGUGAUACGCAGUUUUAAAGGGAGGAAGAUCAGCAAAUAUGCUCCUGAAGAAGGCAACAGAUAUGAUGGCAUUUAUAAGGUGGUGAAAUACUGGCCAGAGAUUUCAUCAAGCCAUGGAUUCUUGGUUUGGCGCUAUCUUUUAAGAAGAGAUGAUGUUGAACCUGCUCCUUGGACCUCUGAAGGAAUAGAACGGUCAAGGAGAUUAUGUUUACGUUUACAGUAUCCAGCAGGUUACCCUUCAGAUAAAGAAGGGAAGAAGACUAAAGGACAGUCAAAGAAGCAGCCCAGUGGAACCACAAAAAGGCCAAUUUCAGAUGAUGGCUGUCCAAGCGCCUCCAAAGUAUACAAAGCAUCAGAUUCAGCAGAAGCAAUUGAGGCUUUUCAACUAACUCCUCAACAGCAACAUCUCAUCAGAGAAGAUUGUCAGAACCAGAAGCUGUGGGAUGAAGUGCUUGCACAUCUUGUGGAAGGACCAAAUUUUCUGAAAAAAUUGGAACAAUCUUUUAUGUGCGUUUGCUGUCAGGAGCUAGUUUACCAGCCUGUGACAACUGAGUGCUUUCACAAUGUCUGUAAAGAUUGCCUACAGCGCUCCUUUAAGGCACAGGUUUUCUCCUGCCCUGCUUGCCGGCAUGAUCUUGGCCAGAAUUACAUCAUGAUUCCCAAUGAGAUUCUGCAGACUCUACUUGACCUUUUCUUCCCUGGCUACAGCAAAGGACGAUGAUCUGCCUGCUUUCACUGUGUUGUUCAUGGUGGCUUUUUGGACAAUAAAGAAUCUAAAAUGGGUGGGGAGGGUGGAAGAAAUGGUGGACUGUAUCUCUCACGUUCUGAAGCAGCUAAUCCUCUUUCCCACAUAGCCAUCAUCUUGUGUGUGUAGUAAGAGGCCCAUUUCUCAACUGUCUUUUAAAUAUCUCAAGGUAGUUCCUAUAACAACUAGUUUUAAUGAGUAAAAAGUCAAAGCCUCAGCUCUAGUUGAUAUCCAAGUUAUGAUUUAUUUUGCAACUACCUCAGGACAGAAAAGAUUUAUGGGGAUUUUAAAAAUCAUUGAAUAACUAGUUAAAUGAAAUUUUAGCUACACACUGCCUCCCAAAUAUUAGUUGUGCCUGGUUCUUGUAAUUUGAUUUUACAGAAAAGGAAAUGACACUUGAGAUCCUUGGAAUGAACACAGCUUCUAAAGUGUGCAUAUACUUUUUUAACGUCUCUUCUUCCAUUACAAUGUGUGUUUUGCAAGGACAGGUUCAUUUUUUUAGCCCACUUUGUGAACUCCAUUGUGCUUUUUUCUGGUGUUUUAUGCAAGUUGACUACUAAUGACUAAUGAGAACAAUAAUGAAUGCAUUGUUGCUGCAUUAGUGUAAUGUGGUGUGGUUUUGCACUUAAAAGAGGUAUUCAUAUGCUCUAGUUGUAAAUGUUCAUGAAAAUCCACUUCUGUACUAGUCGAACUGCUUUUAGUGUCUCACCAGUGGUUUUACAUCUGCAGAGUUUUCAGGGCUGUGCUAACCUUUGAGAGGAUUUGAAAUUGCUUCAUAUUGUGAUCCUAAAUUUUAUAUUCACUAUAUUCCCUAAAGUAUACCUUAAUAAAUAUUUUAUGAUCAGAAAAA
Molecule: small RNA, 3464 nt
Filed under: Pongo abelii (Sumatran orangutan)
Lineage: Eukaryota; Metazoa; Chordata; Mammalia; Primates; Hominidae
Description: processed transcript
Source: RNAcentral